RNAcentral lists this ribosomal RNA (493 nucleotides) under uncultured bacterium. RNAcentral describes it as "bacterial SSU rRNA". It matches the Rfam family "Bacterial small subunit ribosomal RNA", at positions 28 to 533 of the family's 1533-position model. The record is from RNAcentral.
GAUGAACGCUAGCGGGAGGCUUAACACAUGCAAGGUCGAGGGGCAGCACGAUGUAGCAAUACGUUGGUGGCGACCGGCGCACGGGUGAGUAACACGUAUGUAACCUACCCUGUACAGGGGGAUAACCCGGAGAAAUUCGGACUAAUACUCCAUGGAGAUAUACUGGGGCAUCCUGGUAUAUUUAAAGCUUCGGUGGUACGGGAUGGGCAUGCGGAACAUUAGCUAGUUGGCAGGGUAACGGCCUACCAAGGCUACGAUGUUUAGGGGACCUGAGAGGAUGGCCAGCCACACUGGGACUGAGACACGGCCCAGACUCCUACGGGAGGCAGCAGUGGGGAAUAUUGGACAAUGGGGGAAACCCUGAUCCAGCGAUGCCGCGUGAGUGAAGAAGGCCUUCGGGUUGUAAAGCUCUUUCACCUGAGACGAUAAUGACGGUAUCAGGAGAAGAAGCACCGGCUAACUCUGUGCCAGCAGCCGCGGAACCUGUAGUCGU